AUGGUUGUACACCAGCGCGUCGUCCGCGACACCGGCCGGGCCUGGCCCAUCCUGACGCGCACUAACUACGCGGACUGGGCCCUCCUGAUGCAAGUGAUGCUGGAGGCGCGCCAGCUCUGGGUCGCCGUCAACGACGGGACUCCGGAGCGAGAAAAAGAUCACACGGCAAUGGAGUGCCUGCUGCGAUCGGUGCCGUCGGAGAUGGUGUCCACACUCGCCGUCAAGCCCAUGGCGAAGGACGCCUGGGGCACGAUCAAGACAAUGCGGCUGGGCGUGGCGCGUGUUCGUGAGGCCAAGGCGACGUCUCUGCGCCGCCAGUACGAGGCAAUCAAGUUCAACGACGGCGAGGGCAUCGACGACUUCGGUAUGCGCCUAUCUUCUCUGGUAACUCAGCUUGAGCUGCUUGGUGACAAGAUUGGCGAGCCCGCCGUCAUCCGCAAGUUCCUCUCGGUCAUCCCCAAGGCCUACUCGCAGAUGGCGUGUGCGAUCGAGACACUGGUCGACCUCAACACUCUG
Molecule: ribosomal RNA, 516 nt
Filed under: Triticum aestivum (bread wheat)
Lineage: Eukaryota; Viridiplantae; Streptophyta; Magnoliopsida; Poales; Poaceae
Description: partial small subunit ribosomal RNA
Source: RNAcentral